This 460-nucleotide ribosomal RNA is filed under the name uncultured bacterium. RNAcentral's name for it is "partial 16S ribosomal RNA". It matches the Rfam family "Bacterial small subunit ribosomal RNA", at positions 338 to 795 of the family's 1533-position model. The record is from RNAcentral.
CCUACGGGUGGCAGCAGUGAGGAAUAUUGGUCAAUGGACGAGAGUCUGAACCAGCCAAGUAGCGUGAAGGAUGACUGCCCUAUGGGUUGUAAACUUCUUUUAUAUGGGAAUAAAACGUUCCACGUGUGGGAUUUUGUAUGUACCAUAUGAAUAAGGAUCGGCUAACUCCGUGCCAGCAGCCGCGGUAAUACGGAGGAUCCGAGCGUUAUCCGGAUUUAUUGGGUUUAAAGGGAGCGUAGGUGGAUUGUUAAGUCAGUUGUGAAAGUUUGGGGCUCAACCGUAAAAUUGCAGUGGAAACUGGCAGUCUUGAGUACAGUAGAGGUAGGCGGAAUUCGUGGUGUAGCGGUGAAAUGCGUAGAUAUCACGAAGAACUCCGAUUGCGAAGGCAGUUCACUGGACUGCAACUGACACUGAGGCUCGAAAGUGUGGGUAUCAAACAGGAUUAGAUAUCCGUGUAGUC